This 259-nucleotide long non-coding RNA is filed under the name Vigna radiata. RNAcentral's name for it is "long non-coding RNA (VRAD_LNC003571)". Lineage: Eukaryota; Viridiplantae; Streptophyta; Magnoliopsida; Fabales; Fabaceae. The record is from RNAcentral.
AAUUAAGUGGUUAAAUCGCAUAGCGCAAAAUGUGAGAGAAGAUUUUGUAUAUUAAUUUGCACAGCAGACAGCUGAAGUGCGCUCUGCGAAUUAUGCAAAAAAAAAAAUAUCAAAAAGUCAAAUUUGCAUAGCGCACAGCAUGUGGUGCGCUAAGUUAAUUAUACCAUUUCUAAAAAAAAAAUUAAAAUGCAAAAAAAAAGAAAAAAAAAACUUUGUAUUGGCAUAACGCACACCCCUUCGAGCGUUCAGCGGAUGCAGC